GACAGUGGGCAGCAACUCCGCGAGGAGUAGCUAAUCUCCAAAAACCGUCUCAGUUCGGAUUGUUCUCUGCAACUCGAGAGCAUGAAGGCGGAAUCGCUAGUAAUCGCGGAUCAGCAUGCCGCGGUGAAUACGUUCCCAGGCCUUGUACACACCGCCCGUCACACCAUGGGAGUUGGUUUCACCCGAAGGCAGUGCUCUAACCCGCAAGGGAGGAAGCUGACCACGGUGGGAUCAGCGACUGGGGUGAAGUCGUAACAAGGUAACCGUAA
RNAcentral lists this ribosomal RNA (269 nucleotides) under uncultured Sphingomonas sp. Its description in RNAcentral is "partial 16S ribosomal RNA". It matches the Rfam family "Bacterial small subunit ribosomal RNA", at positions 1238 to 1505 of the family's 1533-position model. Lineage: Bacteria; Pseudomonadati; Pseudomonadota; Alphaproteobacteria; Sphingomonadales; Sphingomonadaceae. The record is from RNAcentral.